AUAAUAUUUGCAAAGAAUUUUCGAGAAUUAAAAAACUUGAGAGCAUACAGAACCGAAGAGCUAAGAAUCCUGAAAAAAUAAAAAAUAGCAGUAAACCUUUUAUAAACUACUAUUCUAUUAAAGUUUUUCUCGGGAUAUUUGAGGUUUUCAUGUGCUAAAAUAAGCCCUGAAUAUUCAGAAGUUAAAAUGAGUUGAAUGUUGUUGGUAGUAAAGUAUUUGGGUCAGUUUUUGGUUGGAUUUUGAUUACUGGGUUUAUUUAACCUUGUUGCUGGUUCAAAAUCAUUUCAAAGCUGGUUUUCCUUGUUUAUUUUUGGGUGGCCCUUGUUGUUAAUUCCAGUCCUUGUUAUUGAUGCUGCUGAACUUGCU
This 366-nucleotide long non-coding RNA is filed under the name Nicotiana benthamiana. RNAcentral describes it as "long non-coding RNA (NBEN_LNC038353)". The record is from RNAcentral. Lineage: Eukaryota; Viridiplantae; Streptophyta; Magnoliopsida; Solanales; Solanaceae.